AUGCAGUGGUAGAGGUUGGGUGAGAAACGAGAAUGACACGUGUUGCUUCAUUAUCAAAAAGACCCAUCCCCGGCAAAGUCACCUGCAGAAAAAAAGGCCAGUUUGCAUUUCAAUCGAAGGUCAUGGAUAUCAUUACGUAAAAGGUGUCAGGCAUUGGUGUAGAGGUUGGGUGAGAACGGGACGUUUUGCUUCAUUAUCAAAAAGUUGACAGGGAUCAGUCGAGUGAGCAUCUCCGACACGGUAACAACUCCAUAUUUCGUCGUAAUAUCAGUUCGCAAUCAUGGUUAAUUAUGGCAUUGUGUUGCUGUUGGGUGUUGUAUCGUUGAUGUCGACCACGAGAGAAAAUCUUUCAAAAGGAAAGAGAAAAGGCAACAGAAGUCCAUCGAGUGAGCAUCUCCGACCCGGCAACAACUGCAUUCUUCGUCGUAUUACCAGGUCGCAAUCACGGUUAACUAUGCCGUCAUGCUGCUAUUGGUUGUUGUAUCGUCGAUGUCUGGGUCGACCACUGGUGUACCGACGUCUCCUGGAUAAGGCGGAUACCAAACCGCAACGCCACCACCUUAUUACUCAACAACAUACGCAACGACCAGAUACUACACCGAGGUUGCACUGUUGGGUUUACAGUUAAAUCACCAAGGAUCGAGAUUAUUACACCACAACUUGUGCUGCUCCUCGAGCUACACUACCAAAGCGCUAGAGUACUACACCGAGGCACCUACUGAGACUACGCAACUACGUAUGCUGCCCCAACCUACGACACCGAGGCUCCAGCUUAUUACAUUACCAAAGCUGUCGAAUUCUACAUUGGAUCGCCCAAGUACGACAGAAAUCACCAACACGGCAGCCCCGAAGUUUCGAAUAAACUUCGUUUCAAACAGUGUAACGGCAAAGAGUGAAGACAAAUUCGACUGCAAUCGCGUCGAAUUCAAUAGCAAAGAUAACACAUUCGUACGUGUACACCGCGCCGUUAAACUUGACAUUGUCGGUCGGCAAGCCGCACUUGACGAUGGCCGUACCAUCACCUACGACAAGUGCUUUAUUGUCACAGGUGUUAAACGAAAAUCUUUUCCAAUCCCUGAGCGGUGCCCUUAAAGAUGCCCACGAGCACGUAGCGCUGUUCCGCAACAUCGAUGGCGGUAACAUAGGUCGAGUUCUCCGUUCUCCCAAAUAUUUGAGCCAAUCGACAACCGAGAAGGGGAAAGUGGAAAGUGUUAAUGUGUUGCCCAAAGCCAAUGUUGAGGGUGCAAUUUUGGAAGAUUACAAGUUCGCAUUGACCUUAAACAAUGGUCAAAAGAUUUAAACUGACCAUGUCGUCGUUGCAUGUCGGUUGGGACGCAAACACGUCUGUUGCUUUUGGUUUGGAAAUAGAGGAGAUUUUGGUGGUUAUCGAGUCAAUACCGAGCUUGAAGCACGAUCGAAUGUUUGGUUGGUUGGAGAUGUUACGUUCUUUUGUGAUAUCAAAUUGGGUCGCUGUUGUGUGGAACAUUAUCACCAUGCUGUUGUAUUAGGGCGAUUGGCUGGAGAGAACAAUACUGGCAAAGUAUCAUGGAUGAAAAACUGCAGUGCACUGUUACCAAGUGCAUUCUUCGUCGUAUUAUCAGUACGCAAUCGGUUGAUUGUGAUGUCGUGAUGUUACCGUUUGCCGUAUCGUUGAAGGCUGGGUCGAUCACUGGUGUACCGAUGUCUCCUGGGUAUAGCGGAUACCUAAGCACCACGCCGCCGCCUUACUACACAACGACAACAUUCGCAAGAACCGGUUACUACACCGAGGCACACAAUUACUACACCACCAAGGCUCCAGAGUAUUACACCGCAGCUGAUGCUGCCCCGAGUUACAUCAUCAAACGUACUACACCGAGGCUCCAACUUAUUACACCACCAAAGCGGCUGAAUACUACACCGAGCCGCCCAAGUACUACACCAACAAGGCUCCAGAGUAUUACACCACAACUUGUGCUUGCUUCCCCGAGCCGCUACACCGAAUCCCCGAAGUAUUACUCUGCCCUAAGCUACACAACUACGACUGAGGCGACCAAGUACUACGCAGCCCCAACUUCUACACAGCGGCUGCUCCUUCGUACUACGUUGAAUUGGAAUACUACACCUAGGCUUCAGUUUACUACACCACAACCUACGCUACACCUAGAUACUACACCGAGGCCCCUAUGUAACUACCAAGGCACCUGAGUAUUAUAACACUACUUACGCUGCUCCGACCAACUACACCGAAGCUCCGAAGUAUUACUCAAUCCGAGUUACAACACCACUAAGGCACCUGAAUAUUACACCACACCUUCCGCUUCUCCAACUUACUACAGGGACGUUCCUAAAUAUUAUAACUAUGUUCAGAUUUGUCGGUCAUAUCUUAAUAGUUACUAGUCACUGGGAAUUGUUGAUCUUUAAUAGGGAAAUCAAUUUUUUUAAAACCUGGGUGAUCAUUGUGUACGACUUCUCUUGCCACCUAUCUUUCCUAUUUCGCAUGUUGGAGGUGACCUAUUGCUCUAGUCGCUCUGUAUUCCGACAUAUUCUAGUGUUUGGACAAACUUCAUUUACAGGGCAAGUAACGAAAGAGACAUGUGGUGUUUACUAAAAAUUUUUAAUGUUACUAGCUCUGUUUUUAACAUUAGUUGGUGUAACAAAUGAGUUGCAGAUAGUGUAUGGUUUAUCACAUAAGUUUAUUUGAAGGGUCUGGAGUUGAUCAGUCUAUUGCCAAUAACUUAUGUAAAACUUCAAAGUUGUAAAAAAUAUACAAAUUUGAACUAAA
Molecule: RNA transcript, 2764 nt
Organism: Daphnia pulex (common water flea)
Lineage: Eukaryota; Metazoa; Arthropoda; Branchiopoda; Diplostraca; Daphniidae
Exons: 10
Source: RefSeq, a predicted model, not a curated record